Molecule: long non-coding RNA, 3886 nt
Organism: Vespa velutina
Lineage: Eukaryota; Metazoa; Arthropoda; Insecta; Hymenoptera; Vespidae
Exons: 2
Source: RefSeq, a predicted model, not a curated record
AAUUGAAUGAUUAUUUUUAAAACGAUCCUCGAUUGAAUGAACAAAAUUUUUAACAUUAAGAAUUCACGAAAAAGGUCGAAUCGAUUUCAUUGAAACUUUUCGAAAAACUUUUCUUAUGAAAAGUAAUGAUGUUUUUUUGAAACUUUUCAUUCUAAAAAAGCCGAUAUUCUUUCAUCAGGGCCCAGAAUGAUGCGCGAAAAUAAUGAUGCGUGUUAAUAAUAUUUCUAAAAGCUCAUUAAAGAUAUAAUGCACGUUAAAUAUAAACUUUUAUACUAUUUUUUUUACACGCUAAAUAUUAAAUUUAGUAUCUUCUUCCAUGGUGAUUAAAAUAGGCGGCAUUCAGAAAAUUUUCAAAUUAUUUUAAUUAUUUCUAUUUUAUCAUUGUUAUAAGAAAAAAAGUUCAAUAAACAGUCUAAACAUACGCAUUAAUAAAAAAAAAAUAUAUGCCUUAUAUAUAUAUAUAUAUAUUUUUUUUUAUAAAAAUGAAUGAAUUUCGGAAUUUUUUAUAAAUAAUCUCAAAGAUAUAUUCAUUAAUUAUGAAUCAUUUUUUAUCGAUUAAUACCGUACAUAAUCGUAACCUUGAUACAUAAUUAACUUAUUUCAACAAUUUUUCAAGCAAAACAUUUUAUUCAUUAACGACUGUCGUACGAAUCAUAUACAUAAUUUUCAAAUUAUCCGUAAAGGUUUGAUUUUUUUUUAACUAGUAAACGAAAAUAUUUACCUCCGAUUAAAUCGAGGAUAUAUCGAAUCGAUCACAAAUCAUAAAUCAAGAAAUUCUCAUUUGGAUUUAUAUUUUAAAUAUGGAUGUUGAUAUGCAUAAUGGAUAGCCACUACGUUUUCUACAAUUACUACAUCAAAGAUUACGAAAUUCUUAUCGAAGAAUUUUUUUCUAUCUAAAUUGAUUAUCAUGUCCCAUUUUAUCUUAUGUUAUUCAAAGAAUGUGAUAAAAUAACAUCGCAUAGGAAAAAGAAGUCUGUAUUAACUAAAAAACAUUUUUGUUAACGUUGGUAUUAACGAAAUAAAUGAUAAAUAAAUUGCCACUUACUUUGGCGAAAAGUUCGUGUGAUGCUAUGAUAAUCCUUCUUACUGAAAAAUUGCACGGUCUCAUAAUUUGCAAUAUCAGUAUGAGCAAUAUUUUUUGAGUCUUUAUCGACAACAAAUAAAAUGGUACUUGACAACUACACGGAUGGUUUACGUAUGCGUAUUUAAAACUUCAUAAAUCCAAUUUAAUUGUAUAAAUGUUUGACUUAUAUCGUACUUACCAUUUUGUAAAUACAGCACUGUUAUAAUUUAUUAACAUUUGUCCGGAAUAGCAGUAAACGUAUAUCAAAAGGAGACUUGAAAGUAUGUAGGUACAAUCCGAAAUAAUUUCGCUAAUUGUACUUUUCAAAGUAAAAAUCUGAAACAGCUUUGAUUUUUAUGACAUAAAUAAUGUUACAUUAGAUUAAAUCUUAUUAAAAAAUUUUAAGACAUAUAAUACACAUACAAUACGUACACUUACAUAAAGAUAAUCUAUAAUGAUAAGAGACAAUCCCAAUGUUAUUUCUAUUAAGUAAGUUGAUCCAAAUACGAAUUUUAUUAAAUCAACAAAUCUUAAAAGAACAUAUUAAAAAUUAAUAUAUUAAAAAUUUCACGUUAAAUAUUAUUCAAAAAUUAUAACGAUUUACAUUGAAUACAAACCUAAUGGCUUUCUCAUAACUCCUUAUAAUAGAUACAAUCCAAUUGUAUUCCAUAUUCUGCGAUUUAAAAAUCUUUUUCUGUCGCAAACAAUCCAAAUCUAUUUUAAACGGACUAUCUAAUUUUAUCCUUUAAAAUAUUAAAAAAACAUGUCCUUCCUAUUAAACAAAUUCUCGACCAUUGAUCGUGAAUUUAUUUAAAAAUGUGCUAGAUUAAUUACUUACAAAACAAUAUUGAACAAACCAAAACCAUGUUGAAAAAUUGAUAUGAACAAUGAAUAGUUAGCCACUCCUAUCGUACAUACGAGGAAUAUUGCAAUGAAUUCCACAAAAAGCAUGAUAUAGUAAAACUUGAUAUUUAUUAGAUCAAUUUCUAUACGUAUUGGUAAUAUAAAUUGUGUCUUGUCAGUAACACGAAAAAUAUAGAGGAGAUUGUAGGCAGAUGGAAAUAUUAAAGCAAUGAUGUAACCAUAAGAAAAACCUAAUAUAUAUAGAAUAUAUAUAUGUAUAAUAUUUUGGCCAAAUUAUAUCACCAUUGAUGAUAGAAAAUUAAAAUAAUAUUUUAUAUUUCUGUUAUACUCACUUAUGAUCAACAUCGACCAUACUUUACUUUCAUUCGCAUAUUUUUUCAUUAUAAUUAAUUCAUCCUCGUCCUUUAACUUGUUCCAAUCGCUUUUAAUAUGAUUUAUUAUUAACUUCAUCUUUAAAAUUAUAUUUGUAUCGUUGAGAACUCGUUCAAAAGUUUAAAAAUUAAAUUCUGAUGAUUAAAUAAUUCCGAACAAACCUUUGCAUAAUUAUGAAUAAGAUUAUAAUAAUAACAAGUCGAAAAGCAUAUGGUUGGAAGGAACGUUUGAAGUAAUUUGACGAUCAUCUUAAAUCGUUUUUUUGAUUCCAAAUUAUAUAAAAGAUACAACUCUAAAAACUAAUAUUAUUUUUAUCGAUUUAUACAUACACAGAAGAAAGAAAUUUUGAUUACUCCUAUAACUCUUUGAGGUUAAAUCGAUUAAAAAUCGUUCCACUUUUUACUUAGUUUUUUUAUGCACAAUGGGAUAUAUUUUUAAACCAUCUCGAAAAGUUGAAGUUACUCAUAGUCAUACAUAGUUUAAUAUUUUAUUUGAAAUGAAAUAUAUUAAAUAUUAAAAAUUAUAUAAUUAUUAUUAUUAUAUUUAAAAUUAUGUGCAAUAUGGAUUUUUAUUUUCUUUAAAAUCGUCUGCCUCAAAAAGAUAAAGGCCAAAUCUUUCUUCUAUACGAAUCAACUUUUGUUCAUUCAUAAAUCAUUCAUGAAUACUAUAAAGUCCCAUUGUUAAAUAUCACGAUAAUAAUAUACAUACAUAUUAUAUACUAUAUAUACUAUAUCGAUACAUAAUAUUAUUUACCUGUAUAAAAAUAACAAACGCUAAAACAAAAUUUAACAAACGAACACGCAACAAUGUUUUCGGUGAUUUCUGAUAAGACAAUAAACCAAGGAACAUAAAUAACUUUUCGUUAAGAAUACUAGAAUGUUUCUCGAAGUAAUCUAUUUCUUUCAAAGUCAUUGUCCCUUCUGUCAGAGUUUUAUUAAUCGUCUACGUAUCGAAACCCCUGAAAUAUAAUUUCUUCGUUUAUAGUACGGCUAUCGGACCCUCUGACAAUUCUUAGAAAAUAUUUUAUGGGAGAAGUUGUAAAAAUAUAAGAAAAGCCUUGCAAUUCAACCCUUUCAAUAAUAUCUUUACACUCUACUACUUUUUUUCUCCUAAGAUUCGAUUUAUACAUAAGUAAUUAAACAGAUGUAUCUUCUCAGCAAUUUAGUUUAUUAUUCUUACCUUUAUAUCGUACGUCUAAGGGGGAUAUCUUUCCCCUUCCACAAAGGACAUGCGCGUUACCCUCUCUUUACCAUUAAACGCUGAUCGUCCACAGUAUAUUUUUGUAACUCGAAGAGAAAUGAUCGUAUCAGAAAGUAAAACAACGAGACAAAGAAUUGAAACUUAUAAAAUAUAAUUGUAAUUGUACGACAUGUCGUACAAUUUAUAAAAAAAAAAAAAUAAAGUCGAACCCGAUAAACUAUCAAUACUCAUGAUCUCAACAUUUAAAUGUCACAUCUAUUAAAUAUUUUUUCUUUUUUUUUUUUUCUUUUUUUUUUAAUUUAAUUAACAUAUCAAAAAAUGAAGUUUGAGUAGGAACGAACGACAUUAUCGAUCGUUCAAUGGAUCAAGAUCGAUCGAUCGAUCGAA